GACCCCAGGUCAGACGGGACUACCCGCUGAGUUUAA
This 36-nucleotide ribosomal RNA is filed under the name Setaria faberi. Its description in RNAcentral is "partial 26S ribosomal RNA". The record is from RNAcentral. RNAcentral also lists the same sequence under 3 other names. Lineage: Eukaryota; Viridiplantae; Streptophyta; Magnoliopsida; Poales; Poaceae.